RNAcentral lists this transfer RNA (73 nucleotides) under candidate division Zixibacteria bacterium 4484_93. RNAcentral describes it as "tRNA-Arg". It matches the Rfam family "tRNA". Rfam says of the family: Transfer RNA (tRNA) molecules are approximately 80 nucleotides in length. Their secondary structure includes four short double-helical elements and three loops (D, anti-codon, and T loops). The record is from RNAcentral. Lineage: Bacteria; Pseudomonadati; Candidatus Zixiibacteriota. RNAcentral also lists the same sequence under 1 other name.
GCGGCAGUGGCUCAAUGGAUAGAGCAGCAGAUUCCGGAUCUGCAGGUUGGAGGUUCAAGUCCUCUCUGCCGCA